CUGCUGCGCUGCUCCAUCUGCCGCCCCUCUGCAUCCCCGUGCGUCUCCCGUGUAACAGCACCUGUGCAUCGCCGUGCAUCCUUGUGCAUAACCCCGUGUGCAGCACCGGCAUCCCUGUGCAUCCCCUGCAGCAUCCCCUGCAUGCAUCCCCGUGCAUCCCUGCAGCACCACCUGCAUCCCUGUGCAUGCAUCCCUGUGCAUCCCUUGCAGCAUCACCUGUAUCCAUGUGUCAUCCAUCCCUGUGCAUCCCUGCAGCAUCGCCUGCAUCCUUGUGCAUGCACCCCUGUGCAUCCCCUGCAGCACCACCUGCAUCCCUGUGCAUGCAUCCCUGUGCAUGCAUCCCUGUGCAUCCCUUGCAGCAUCACCUGCAUCCCUGUGCAUCCCUUGCAGCAUCCCCUGCAUCCCUGUGCACGUCCCCCACAGCACCACCUGCAUCCCUGUGCAUCCGCUGCAGCAUCACCUGCAUCCCUGUGCAUGCACCCCUGUGCAUCCCCUGCAGCAUCACCUGCAUCCCUGUGCAUCCCUUGCAGCAUCCCCUGCAUCCCUGUGCACGUCCCCCACAGCACCACCUGCAUCCCUGUGCAUCCCCUGCAGCAUCCUCUGCAUCCCUGUGCGUCCAUCCCUGUGCAUCUCCCAUAGGACAUCAUCUGUGCAUUCCUGUGCAUGCAUCCCUGUGCAUCCAUCCCUGUGCAUCCCCUGCAGCACCACCUGCAUCCCUGUGCAUCCCCUGCAGCAUCCUCUGCAUCCCUGUGCAUCCAUCCCUGUGCAUGCAUCCCUGUGCACCCCCUGCAGCAUCCUCUGCAUCCCUGUGCAUCCAUCCCUGUGCAUCUCCCAUAGGGCAUCACCUGUGCAUCCCUGUGCAUGCAU
This 867-nucleotide long non-coding RNA is filed under the name Numida meleagris (helmeted guineafowl). RNAcentral describes it as "lncRNA (ENSNMEG00000002204.1)". The record is from RNAcentral. Lineage: Eukaryota; Metazoa; Chordata; Aves; Galliformes; Numididae.